CGUGAGCGGGCGGGACGGGGUGGGAGUAACGCGUGGGUAACCCGCCUCAAGGGGGAGGGUAACAGUCUAGAAAUGACUGCUAAUACCGCAUAAGACCACAGUACCGCAUGGUACAGGGGUAAAAACUCCGGUGGUAUGAGAUGGACCCGCGUCUGAUUAGGUAGUUGGUGGGGUAACGGCCUACCAAGCCGACGAUCAGUAGCCGACCUGAGAGGGUGACCGGCCACAUUGGGACUGAGACACGGCCCAA
This 250-nucleotide ribosomal RNA is filed under the name uncultured bacterium. Its description in RNAcentral is "partial 16S ribosomal RNA". It matches the Rfam family "Bacterial small subunit ribosomal RNA", at positions 106 to 334 of the family's 1533-position model. The record is from RNAcentral.